AGAGUUUGAUCCUGGCUCAGGAUGAACGCUAGCUACAGGCUUAACACAUGCAAGUCGAGGGGCAGCAUUUCAGUUUGCUUGCAAACUGGAGAUGGCGACCGGCGCACGGGUGAGUAACACGUAUCCAACCUGCCGAUAACUCGGGGAUAGCCUUUCGAAAGAAAGAUUAAUACCCGAUGGUAUAAUCAGACCGCAUGGUCUUGUUAUUAAAGAAUUUCGGUUAUCGAUGGGGAUGCGUUCCAUUAGGCAGUUGGUGAGGUAACGGCUCACCAAACCUUCGAUGGAUAGGGGUUCUGAGAGGAAGGUCCCCCACAUUGGAACUGAGACACGGUCCAAACUCCUACGGGAGGCAGCAGUGAGGAAUAUUGGUCAAUGGGCGCAGGCCUGAACCAGCCAAGUAGCGUGAAGGAUGACUGCCCUAUGGGUUGUAAACUUCUUUUAUAUGGGAAUAAAGUUUUCCACGUGUGGAAUUUUGUAUGUACCAUAUGAAUAAGGAUCGGCUAACUCCGUGCCAGCAGCCGCGGUAAUACGGAGGAUCCGAGCGUUAUCCGGAUUUAUUGGGUUUAAAGGGAGCGUAGGUGGACAGUUAAGUCAGUUGUGAAAGUUUGCGGCUCAACCGUAAAAUUGCAGUUGAUACUGGCUGUCUUGAGUACAGUAGAGGUGGGCGGAAUUCGUGGUGUAGCGGUGAAAUGCUUAGAUAUCACGAAGAACUCCGAUUGCGAAGGCAGCUCACUGGACUGCAACUGACACUGAUGCUCGAAAGUGUGGGUAUCAAACAGGAUUAGAUACCCUGGUAGUCCACACAGUAAACGAUGAAUACUCGCUGUUUGCGAUAUACAGUAAGCGGCCAAGCGAAAGCAUUAAGUAUUCCACCUGGGGAGUACGCCGGCAACGGUGAAACUCAAAGGAAUUGACGGGGGCCCGCACAAGCGGAGGAACAUGUGGUUUAAUUCGAUGAUACGCGAGGAACCUUACCCGGGCUUAAAUUGCAUUUGAAUAUAUUGGAAACAGUAUAGCCGUAAGGCAAAUGUGAAGGUGCUGCAUGGUUGUCGUCAGCUCGUGCCGUGAGGUGUCGGCUUAAGUGCCAUAACGAGCGCAACCCUUAUCUUUAGUUACUAACAGGUCAUGCUGAGGACUCUAGAGAGACUGCCGUCGUAAGAUGUGAGGAAGGUGGGGAUGACGUCAAAUCAGCACGGCCCUUACGUCCGGGGCUACACACGUGUUACAAUGGGGGGUACAGAAGGCAGCUACCUGGUGACAGGAUGCUAAUCCCAAAAGCCUCUCUCAGUUCGGAUCGAAGUCUGCAACCCGACUUCGUGAAGCUGGAUUCGCUAGUAAUCGCGCAUCAGCCAUGGCGCGGUGAAUACGUUCCCGGGCCUUGUACACACCGCCCGUCAAGCCAUGAAAGCCGGGGGUACCUGAAGUACGUAACCGCAAGGAGCGUCCUAGGGUAAAACUGGUAAUUGGGGCUAAGUCGUAACAAGGUAGCCGUACCGGAAGGUGCGGCUG
RNAcentral lists this ribosomal RNA (1509 nucleotides) under Bacteroides thetaiotaomicron. Its description in RNAcentral is "bacterial SSU rRNA". It matches the Rfam family "Bacterial small subunit ribosomal RNA". RNAcentral also lists the same sequence under 5 other names. The record is from RNAcentral. Lineage: Bacteria; Pseudomonadati; Bacteroidota; Bacteroidia; Bacteroidales; Bacteroidaceae.